Molecule: ribosomal RNA, 393 nt
Filed under: uncultured bacterium
Lineage: Bacteria
Description: bacterial SSU rRNA
Rfam family: Bacterial small subunit ribosomal RNA
Source: RNAcentral
ACGGCCAGAGAUGGUCGCCCCCUUGUGGUCGGUGUACAGGUGGUGCAUGGUUGUCGUCAGCUCGUGUCGUGAGAUGUUGGGUUAAGUCCCGCAACGAGCGCAACCCUUAUUACUAGUUGCCAGCAUUCGGUUGGGCACUCUAGUGAGACUGCCGGUGACAAACCGGAGGAAGGUGGGGAUGACGUCAAAUCAUCAUGCCCCUUAUGACCUGGGCUACACACGUGCUACAAUGGGUGGUACAACGAGCAGCGAGACCGCGAGGUCAAGCGAAUCUCUAAAAACCAUCCUCAGUUCGGAUUGCAGGCUGCAACUCGCCUGCAUGAAGCUGGAAUCGCUAGUAAUCGUGGAUCAGCACGCCGCGGUGAAUACUUUCCCGGGUCUUGUACACACCGA